Long non-coding RNA from Saccostrea cuccullata (small rock oyster), 653 nucleotides. RefSeq lists it as uncharacterized. The transcript is spliced from 4 exons. The record is from RefSeq and is a predicted model, not a curated record. NCBI's taxonomy places the organism in Eukaryota, Metazoa, Mollusca, Bivalvia, Ostreida, Ostreidae.
CAGGGAUUAACAUGGCACAAGUGCAAAAAUGGCGGGUAUAGAAAUCCCACAAACUGCGAACAAUGUAAAUGCCCGGAUGGUUGGAUUGGUUAGUAUUGUCAGUAUCCAAAGGGUCCAGAUAUUACAUUUGCCGUGAAUCUUCCGAAACUUUUUAUUGACAUACUUACUUCUGGAUGUGGAAAUAAAUACCAAUUUGCGGAAGCAAACCACAGAUUCAUCACUUCACCAGGGUACUCUUACCCAGGAUAUUACACAACGGAUUCGGAAUGUACCUGGAAGAUUGAGGCACCAGUUGGUAGGCGUGUCCAGCUUGAAUUUGUCGGUACUUUCGAUAUCACCUGUCACGCAAGGUGUUUAGAUUUUGUAGAAGUCCGUUUCAAAAGUCUCUCUGCCACGGGUCCAAGGUUCUGUUGUAGAAGAUGGACUAUGGACAGAUUUACUUCCGAUGGACGAGUUAUGUUGGUCCUAUUUAGGACAAACUCCUAUAACACAGCAAAGGGCUUCAAAGCCAGAUACAAAUACGUUUAAGCAAAACGGAAACAAUUUUUUCUAUCAGUUAUUCAUAUCAUAUUAUGUCAAUUCAACAUAUUCCUGUAUAAUUAGUAAAAAGUAUUGAAAUAAAAUCUAUUUAAACUUGAUGGUCUCGUUGACCA